Non-coding RNA from Hordeum vulgare subsp. vulgare (domesticated barley), 91 nucleotides. The record is from Rfam. Lineage: Eukaryota; Viridiplantae; Streptophyta; Magnoliopsida; Poales; Poaceae.
UUGCCAUGAUGAGAUCUUUCAGUGUUAAAAGCAGACCCCUGCUUGAUGAAUCUGGGAAAUACUUUUUCCUCCUGAGCGGUUACCUGAGCAA